Molecule: long non-coding RNA, 5499 nt
Filed under: Panax ginseng (ginseng)
Lineage: Eukaryota; Viridiplantae; Streptophyta; Magnoliopsida; Apiales; Araliaceae
Description: long non-coding RNA (PGIN_LNC016744)
Source: RNAcentral
GGAUUGUUACAUUAUGAGACCCUAGAUAUUUAAUGGGAAUCAAGGCAACAAAGGUUCCAAAAUCACUACCAGCAAAAAUAUGAAGAACAACAGUUGAGAAGUAUCAACACAGUAGCUAAAUAAAGAAUAAUCAAUAGAGUUCUUGAACUGAGAACUAACAAUCUAGAGCAUCAACAGCAUUGUAGAAUUUUGCAAACCAAAGGCCAACUUCAGACCAUGAAGUAAGUUUCUUACUACUUUCCUUCGCAAUUUGCAAGUAUGUACUGUACAUUAUUUCAAUCAGAAAAUACUCGAAAAACGAAAUAAAGAGAAAACUAUGCCUACACCCUUUGGAUUUCAGUGCAAUAUACAUCACCAUAAGUCCAUAGUGUACCAAAUAAGAAAAUUUGGUGGCGAAACUUGAUUAACAGUUGGUGUUCUUUGUUGAAGUGCUUGGAGUAUGGUGGAGUCGAGAAAUCCAGUAUCACGGGUAAUGAUUUGAGAAAAUAUUCCAAAAGCUUUAUAAAUUGGAGCCCUGAUCAUGAUUCAAGGUUUCCGUGGGGAACGUUGUCCGUGGAAGAAUGAGGUUAGCUAGCUCUUCAUUCAAUUUCACUGGCAGAGGUGGCAUCUGUUUCAUUAUGUCUUGUAUCUCUCUCAGGCUGCAAAUUGUAAAUAGAUUUACAAUAGGUUUAUAUUUGUAUACAUGAAAAAAGAAAAAAAAUGGAAAAAAUAAAAGAAGAAAAUCUAGUUGCACAAACUUUCACUUUGUCCUAAAGUGCCCGUGUUUGACACGAGUAUGGGUACUCGACAAUUCAUUUUAGUGUAAAAAAUUGGCAAAAUUGAAGAUUACCGGUGUCGGACUCUUUUUAAAAAUACCGGACACUCCAUCCGAGUCCGUGUAACAUAGCUAACAAUAUUUAAUGCACAUUAGGGAAAUGCAACUUCACAAAGAGCACAGCUUCACAUCAUAGACAUGCUUAAGUAGGCUUACAUUGUUGGUGGAGUUUCUGCCUAAGCACAAAUAUAGUCAAAAUUUAAAAGACACCUAGUAAUGUUAAGAAGCCAAACUUCUAUUGCAAUUGAGUUGAGUCUCUGCUAUUAAAUCGAGUUAUUUAACAGUUACAAAACAUGCAUAUUAAUUUUUCUUAAUUCUCUCUUUUUCCAGCCAACUCUGGAUUUGGAAAUCUAAGCAUAUAGACAGUCACGCCAAUCAGGAUGUAACGAGGAAAAUGGGAAAAAAUAUUGCAUUUCAAGACCCUGAACAACCCCCCUACCCCACCCCACCCCACUCCUUUUGGAAAAUAUUCAUCCAAAAAUGUGUUAGGCCAAACACAAAGUUCCACAGAGAUAGAAGUAUCCAAAAGGAAGUCCUGCUACUAGAGCUCUGCAUGAACUAAGCAAAGCUGAGCUCAUCCUGAACAAGGCUCGGCUCAGUUAGACGUAUUAACCAAACCUUAAAAUUCAAUUCAAGCUCAGUUUUUUUCACUCUAUGGACGACCCAAGCCAAACCCACUAUGAGCCUGAGACAAGACUGAGAGCUCACAAACUUGGUUCAAUAAAAUUUAAUAAAAAAUUAUGAUGACAUGAAAAUUUGCAUCAGUUAAAACUUAUAGCAUGAAAUUUUAUCGAAAGUGUGUUAAACAAUAAAACAAUUUCAAGUAACAUUAGAAUAAAUAUAAUUAAUUUUGAUGAAAUAUAUGAUUUGACAUAUAACAAUUCCAAUUGUCUCCAUAACGUGAUAUGAUUAUAGUCCAACCCUAAAAUAUGUAUAUCAAUAAUCCAACCCCAGGCCCAAACCUAAGUGAGCCGAGCUUACCCUUGUUCAAGCUCCGCUGAUUUAGUAAAUAAGCCUUAAAACAGAGAAGCUCGGCUCGUUACAUGAGCCAGAGCUGGGCGCUCAAUGAGUCAAAAACCGAGUUGUUCAUGAAUAUCUCAGUUCAUUAGCAGCCCUGCACAUAUAUAAGGUAUAAUACACUGCAUUCGUGUAUUAACAAAGGUGUAGAAUACUAGACAUGGAAGAUUAAUGAUUCUUAAACUGUCAAAUGUCUGACAGAAAUAUAAAAGUUACAGGAAAAUGGUUGUCAUGGAAAAAACAAUUAAAUUUCACCUCUCCAAUGAAAAAAAGGGAAUUGAUAUUUCCACAAGUAAAUUUUGAUAUUUCGACAAGAUUCCUUUCACAUGACUAUGGAACCUAUUUAAUAUUCAUGUGAGAGGGAUCUUAUGAAACUAUCACUUUUGGUUUUGGAAAUAUCAAUUCCCGAAAAAAAUUAGAAGGCAAUAGAGAAAUAGGAGAUGAUACAGGAACAUUUAAAUUAAGUGGAUGGAAAAACAGGGAACAAUGAUGCAAAAGGAUGAGAUAUGCAACAUACUUGCUCAAGAUUUUGAGGAUGUUAUCCCGAGCUUGGCAAAAAAGACCAAUGUUCUCAUGCGUCUGGAGAGAGAGGGAGGGAGAGAGAGAGAGAUUAGCUCAGUCUACCAGAAUGAAUAAAACUCCAGAUAACAAAGUAUAAAGAGCAAGUCAACUCAUUAUCUAGUUUAAUAAAGGAAUCACAAUGCUCCAACCAUUUCCUCUUACUAAAUUUUUUUAAAAAUUAUUUAUUAUCAAAAUGGACGAGGGGCAUAGAACCUAACUUCAACCCAACAAGUAGUAGGUCUAUGUAAGCUACUAGAGAUAUCUUUAACAAUAUAAUAUUUCUCCAUUGAGUCCCUAACGGGAUUUGAUUCCCGCAUCUCCCCAUUAGAGGAGAGCCACUAGACCUAGAGUUAAUUGAAACUUCCUCCUCUUCAAAAUGUAUAAGUGNNNNNNNNNNNNNNNNNNNNNNNNNNNNNNNNNNNNNNNNNNNNNNNNNNNNNNNNNNNNNNNNNNNNNNNNNNNNNNNNNNNNNNNNNNNNNNNNNNNNACGCUUACAAACUAUAAACUUCACCUAUAACGAUCUCAAUAUUCAAUUUAAAAGUGUUUGGGGAAAAAACGCUUACAAACUAUAAACUUCACCUAUAGAAGAUCUCAAUAUUAAAUUUAACGAUUGUUAACCGACAGUAUUUCCAUAAGGGCUUUUACACUGAUGAUCACACCUUCAUUUUCUGUCAACUAAUGUCAACUAAUGUUUUCUUUCAGUGACAUCAAUCCUUAUGUUGAUACAAGUUCAAAUUUUCCUAAUGUUGAAAUUAACCGCUCAACAUGCAAGGUGGACAAUGAACAAAAAUUAUUCCACAACUAAAUCAUAAAAUUGCUAAGUCAUGCAAUAUACACGGUUAUGCAAAAAGCUAGACUCGACAUAUUCCCCAAAAAUAGGAAAAAGGAACAUAAUUUUUUCACUCAUUAGUCAUUCGUACUUUUUCAACUCCCACUUUAGUAUGACUUAUGAGGUAAAAUAUGUAAUCAAAUACAUAAAUUUCUCACCUGAAAAGCUCUAAAAUUUGCAGAAAUCUGCUCCAAUGCCUGAGCAUUUUGUCGAAGAAGCUGCCCAGUAACGCCACCUAUGGCCGUGAACAAUACAAAUACAUUGACAACAGAACAGUAUGAUAACCCAAUACAGAAUACUAUAGAAGAAUUUCAUGAUUGCAAAUUGGAAUAUUUUAUUAGACUAUGGUACAUUUUAGAAACUACUUUAGGUAGAAAACAUUGUAAUAGUUACAAGAAUUUUUUCACAACAUGAAUAGUCAAUACCAAUAAUUAGAAUGACAUGCAUUAUAUGCUAAGAUUUUUAGUGAGAAUACUGUUGGAAAAUGGAGGAUAAUGAAACAAAGGCUUGGCUAAAUUUUUCACAGUACAGGAAAAGCUGUCUGAGUCUUUGACACCGAGAAAGCGAAGAAAGGGGAGGGAAAUCAAGAAAGGGAAAGAAGAAGAGAAGGACCACCAUAAAGAAUUAAAAAAUGAGGAUAAUUAUGAACUAAGAAGAAGAGACUGAGACUGAGACUGAGAGUUACAAAAUGUAGAGACAAAAAGAUGUGAGGGGAUCUCAAGAAAGAGAUUAGUAAAGUAGAGGUGAGAGGAAGAAGAAGAUAAGAAGCGGAGAGAUUGUACAUAACAAUAUCCCGAACAAAAUUAGCUGUUGUGUUUGUUCAGUUUUGGAAGUAAAACCUACCUUUUCAAAUUGGAAUAAUAAUUAUAAAAUAGUGGUAGCUCUUAGGUGAUGAAAAAAUUCAGUAAUCAUAAUUACUAAAUAAAGAAUAAGUAUCUUUAAGCAGGGAAAAUUUUUUAUAAGCAUAUUUAGUUACAGAAUACCAGUUCAAAAUUUUUAUUUAGAAUCUUUUAGGAAAUAAAAACCCAACCAUUGUACAAGAUGCCAUUAUCAUUGACGUUAGUAACCACUCCUUCAGCAUAAAAGCUUGGCAGACCUGCUAAAUGAGAUGACCUUGCGGGAGGAUCAGUCAAAUUUUCCUGAGAAGUGAAAUGAAAAUGUUAUUUAGAAGGUCUAUGUAACAAGUAGUUAAAUGUAAGCCAUACAAAACAAUAAUAUCUUUUAAUCUCGUAGCAAACAGCACAACAGAUAGAUGAAGGUAACUAUGAAAUUUUUCAUAAAAAAAAAACCUUACAAAAACUUCUUGGUCCUUGUAUAAGAGUGUCAGACUGACAUUAAUUAAACUAUUUGCCAGAAACAAGCUUUCAUCAUUAAUGAGUUUGGGGUUUUUCUUCCUAAAUUGUUAGGGGAGUUCACCAUAAUAUGAGUUUAGAUAUGACAGCUGUACCCACAUAAGCAAUUGAAGCAAUUCCUAAAGAUUCAACAGCCAUCAGUUGAUAAGUCCAUAGUAUGAUGGAAUAAUAUUUGUGAUGACACCGAUGCUCAUGUAAAAAGACUAAUGUCCACAACAAGCUUGAGCUUAUAGGCGGAAAUUCCAGGUUAUGUUAUUUAUAGGGUUUGAAAUGACUCCCAUACUUACAAGUUCUAACUUCUAGGGAUUUUGUUUGUUAGGUAAUUACUAGAAGGAUAAUAUUAGUAUUGGGUUUGCUUAUGAAAAUCAAACAUUUGAUUAACAGAAUUAAGGAAUUUCCUUCCUUUAUUGUCACUGUUUCUCAUUGUGCGUUCUCAUUCUUUUGAUAUUCUUCCCUCUUUCUUCAUCCCUUCUGAUGAGGACAUGCCUAGCUUGGAUUCAAAUGGAGGCUAUGGAUCAGAUCCAGUGCAAGUAGACGAGAGGCCGAGCUAAACGCUUCAAGGAUGGGCUUGUUGGAUUGAUCCGUGAAGUUUGGAAGGAGGAUGGAUCGACAUCAAAGAUUAUUGAGAUGAGUUCUAGGUCCAUGAAGGUUGUGAACUUGCUAAAGCUGAACCAGGAAACAAAAGAGCAGAAUCAGUUUUCUCCCAACUACCCAGUUGACGCGUUUUUGAAGAUUUGGACGCGAAUUUGCUUUGUUAAUUAGUUAUUUUUCAGUAUCUUUUCAGACUUUGAUUGUAAUUAGGAUACUCUUAUUAUAGUUGGUUUCCAAAUUGAUUAUAAUUCCUUAUAAGGAAUUUAGGGUUUGUAUUACUAUUAUAAAUAGGUUUAUUGGUAUAAUUCAUAACAACAUUCAAUAUUAUUCAGAUU